RNAcentral lists this ribosomal RNA (465 nucleotides) under Vreelandella stevensii. RNAcentral's name for it is "partial 16S ribosomal RNA". It matches the Rfam family "Bacterial small subunit ribosomal RNA", at positions 338 to 795 of the family's 1533-position model. Lineage: Bacteria; Pseudomonadati; Pseudomonadota; Gammaproteobacteria; Oceanospirillales; Halomonadaceae. The record is from RNAcentral.
CCUACGGGAGGCUGCAGUGGGGAAUAUUGGACAAUGGGGGGAACCCUGAUCCAGCCAUGCCGCGUGUGUGAAGAAGGCCCUCGGGUUGUAAAGCACUUUCAGUGAGGAAGAACGCCUGGUGGUUAAUACCCAUCAGGAAAAACAUCACUCACAGAAGAAGCACCGGCUAACUCCGUGCCAGCAGCCGCGGUAAUACGGAGGGUGCGAGCGUUAAUCGGAAUUACUGGGCGUAAAGCGCGCGUAGGUGGCUUGAUAAGCCGGUUGUGAAAGCCCCGGGCUCAACCUGGGAACGGCAUCCGGAACUGUCAAGCUAGAGUGCAGGAGAGGAAGGUAGAAUUCCCGGUGUAGCGGUGAAAUGCGUAGAGAUCGGGAGGAAUACCAGUGGCGAAGGCGGCCUUCUGGACUGACACUGACACUGAGGUGCGAAAGCGUGGGUAGCAAACAGGAUUAGAUACCCCAGUAGUC